RNAcentral lists this ribosomal RNA (331 nucleotides) under uncultured bacterium. Its description in RNAcentral is "bacterial SSU rRNA". It matches the Rfam family "Bacterial small subunit ribosomal RNA", at positions 568 to 898 of the family's 1533-position model. The record is from RNAcentral.
CGCGUAGACGGUUUUGUAAGUCAGAUGUGAAAUCCCCGGGCUCAACCUGGGAACUGCAUUUGAAACUGCAUGGCUAGAGUAUGGUAGAGGGAAGUGGAAUUUCCGGUGUAGCGGUGAAAUGCGUAGAUAUCGGAAGGAACACCAGUGGCGAAAGCGACUUCCUGGGCCAAUACUGACGUUCAUGUGCGAAAGCGUGGGGAGCAAACAGGAUUAGAUACCCUGGUAGUCCACGCCAUAAACGAUGACAACUAGAUGUUGGGAGGGUCUGCCUCCCGGUGUCGCAGCUAACGCGUUAAGUUGUCCGCCUGGGGAGUACGGCCGCAAGGUUGAA